RNAcentral lists this ribosomal RNA (454 nucleotides) under uncultured bacterium. RNAcentral describes it as "partial 16S ribosomal RNA". It matches the Rfam family "Bacterial small subunit ribosomal RNA", at positions 28 to 507 of the family's 1533-position model. The record is from RNAcentral.
GAUGAACGCUGCCAGAAUGCUUAACACAUGCAAGUCAACUUGAACUUCGGUUUGGGUGGCGGACGGGUGAGUAACGCGUAAAGAACUUGCAUCACAGCUAGGGACAACAUUUGGAAACGAAUGCUAAUACCUGAUAUUAUGAUUUUAGGGCAUCCUAGAAUUAUGAAAGCUAUAUGCGCUGUGAGAGAGCUUUGCGUCCCAUUAGCUAGUUGGAGAGGUAACGGCUCACCAAGGCGAUGAUGGGUAGCCGGCCUGAGAGGGUGAACGGCCACAAGGGGACUGAGACACGGCCCUUACUCCUACGGGAGGCAGCAGUGGGGAAUAUUGGACAAUGGACCAAGAGUCUGAUCCAGCAAUUCUGUGUGCACGAUGAAGUUUUUCGGAAUGUAAAGUGCUUUCAGUUGGGAAGAAAAAAAUGACGGUACCAACAGAAGAAGUGACGGCUAAAUACGUG